This 26-nucleotide non-coding RNA is filed under the name Homo sapiens (human). The record is from RNAcentral. Lineage: Eukaryota; Metazoa; Chordata; Mammalia; Primates; Hominidae.
CCUCAUGUGAGUUGGUGACUGAGACU